Molecule: long non-coding RNA, 180 nt
Organism: Daktulosphaira vitifoliae (grape phylloxera)
Lineage: Eukaryota; Metazoa; Arthropoda; Insecta; Hemiptera; Phylloxeridae
Exons: 2
Source: RefSeq, a predicted model, not a curated record
AGAUUGCUUAUUUUUGGAAAAAAAAUGUUUAAUUUAGUAAUUUAAAAGAAUUAUUCCACCAUAAAGCACUGUGAAAAGCACAAAGUCUUUUCUUUAUAAGAACUUUUUUUAAGUUUGAUGUUUAUGGCUAUCUAGCAUUGAAAACAGGAUGUAUUUCUGAACUGGUUUAUUUAAAUACGG